GCCUCUGUGGCGGAACUGGUAGACGCGGCAGACUCAAAAUCUGCUGACUGUAGAGUCGUGGGAGUUCGAGUCUCUCCAGAGGCACCA
RNAcentral lists this transfer RNA (87 nucleotides) under Alphaproteobacteria bacterium. RNAcentral's name for it is "tRNA-Leu". It matches the Rfam family "tRNA". Rfam says of the family: Transfer RNA (tRNA) molecules are approximately 80 nucleotides in length. The record is from RNAcentral. Lineage: Bacteria; Pseudomonadati; Pseudomonadota; Alphaproteobacteria.